This 253-nucleotide ribosomal RNA is filed under the name uncultured bacterium. RNAcentral's name for it is "partial 16S ribosomal RNA". It matches the Rfam family "Bacterial small subunit ribosomal RNA", at positions 524 to 776 of the family's 1533-position model. The record is from RNAcentral.
UACGUAGGCAGCAAGCGUUGUUCGGAGUUACUGGGCGUAAAGGGUGCGUAGGCGGUUGUUUAAGUUUGGUGUGAAAUCCCCCGGCUCAACUGGGAGGGUGCGCCGAAUACUGAAUGACUAGAGUGCGGGAGAGGAGAGUGGAAUUCCUGGUGUAGCGGUGAAAUGCGUAGAUAUCAGGAGGAACACCGGUGGUGUAGACGGCUCUCUGGACCGUAACUGACGCUGAGGCACGAAAGCGUGGGUAGCAAACAGG